This 259-nucleotide ribosomal RNA is filed under the name uncultured archaeon. RNAcentral describes it as "partial 16S ribosomal RNA". It matches the Rfam family "Archaeal small subunit ribosomal RNA", at positions 748 to 1008 of the family's 1478-position model. The record is from RNAcentral.
CAGCCGUAAACUAUGCUCGCUAGGUGUCAGGCAUGGCGCGACCGUGUCUGGUGCCGCAGGGAAGCCGUGAAGCGAGCCACCUGGGAAGUACGGCCGCAAGGCUGAAACUUAAGGAUUGGCGGGGGAGCACAACAACGGGUGGAGCCUGCGGUUUAAUUGGACUCAACGCCGGACAACUCACCGGGGACGACAGCAAUAUGUAGGCCAGGCUGAAGACCUUGCCUGAAUCGCUGAGAGGAGGUGCAUGGCGUGUGACUGU